UGAGGGAGGAACCAUCAUGCGAAGCAUGAUUUUAAAUGGUUCCGACCGACUUGCCGCCGAAGCUUUAGCUGAGGGGGCGAUACAUAUU
This 88-nucleotide small RNA is filed under the name unclassified sequences. RNAcentral's name for it is "GA-cis RNA". It matches the Rfam family "GA-cis RNA". The record is from Rfam by way of RNAcentral.